Molecule: ribosomal RNA, 492 nt
Filed under: uncultured bacterium
Lineage: Bacteria
Description: partial 16S ribosomal RNA
Rfam family: Bacterial small subunit ribosomal RNA
Source: RNAcentral
AGUGAACGCUGGCGGCAUGCCUAACACAUGCAAGUCGAGCGAACACACGGUAAGAUUGUGCUCCUGCGGGUGGCGGGGGGCGGAUGGGUAACGCAUGCAUCGGAUACCUCUUUUUCGGGGGGAAUAACGUGGGAACAGUGCUGCUAAUAGAGCAUAUAUCGAACGGGUGAAAUCAGGAGUUCAUGGCGGUUUUCGCGUCUGUAUUAGCCGAGGCCGCAUUAGAUAGUUGGCUUGGUAAGGGCCCACCAAGGCAACGCUCCGUAGCGGAUCUGAGAGGAUGAUCAGCCACACUGGAACUGAGACACGGUCCAGACUCCUACGGGAGGCAGCAGUGGGGAAUCUUGCGCAAUGGGCGAAAGCCUGAUCCAGCAAUACCGCGUGAGUGAUGAAGGUCUUCGGGUCGUAAAGCCCUGUUGUUAGGAAAGAAAAAAAGCGGGAGAAUCUACGCAUGUUCUGACGGUACCCAAAGAAAAAGCCCCGGCUAACUACGUG